RNAcentral lists this long non-coding RNA (235 nucleotides) under Lathyrus oleraceus (garden pea). RNAcentral describes it as "Pisum sativum (pea) long non-coding RNA (PSAT_LNC022650)". The record is from RNAcentral. Lineage: Eukaryota; Viridiplantae; Streptophyta; Magnoliopsida; Fabales; Fabaceae.
UAUUUAAUUUAGUAGAGAGAAUUAUGGAUUUUUGGUCAAAAUUCCACCAAAUUGAUUUUAUUUUUUAAUAAAAUACGAUAAAAACAAGUGAUGGUGUUAAAAAUAGAGUAUUCUAAUGUAAAAAGUGUGAUGAUUUGUGUAUUGCAUAACUUAGAUAUGGAGCUCACACAAUGUAUUAAUAGGCCUAAGAAUAACUUUAAAGUAUAAUAUUUUAAAGUAAGAGAGACUAACAUAU